This 327-nucleotide ribosomal RNA is filed under the name Varanus salvadorii. RNAcentral describes it as "partial 12S ribosomal RNA". It matches the Rfam family "Bacterial small subunit ribosomal RNA", at positions 858 to 1349 of the family's 1533-position model. The record is from RNAcentral. Lineage: Eukaryota; Metazoa; Chordata; Lepidosauria; Squamata; Varanidae.
CGAGCAGCCCAUUCGCCCGAGAACUACCAGCACAAGCUAAAAACUCAAAAGACUUGACGGUGCUCUACCCUGCCUAGAGGAGCCUGUCCUAUAAUCGAUACCCCACGAUCUACCCAACCAUCACUAGCAACUUCAGCCUAUAUACCGCCGUCGAAAGUAUAUCCCUCAAAGGACCUAUAAUUUUCUCAACAGUCACCCCACUAAAACGUCAGGCCAAGGCAUAGCUAAUGUGACGGCAGAGAUGGGCUACAUUUUCUAACCGCCAGAACACACGAAAAAUAGCAUGAAAACUGCCAUUCCAAGGAGGAUUUAGCAGUAAGACGAAGA